GUGAGGAAUAUUGGACAAUGGGCGCAAGCCUGAUCCAGCCAUGCCGCGUGCAGGAAGACGCAUCUAUGGUGUGUAAACUGCUUUUGUACGGGAAGAAACACUCCCUCGUGAGGGAGCUUGACGGUACCGUAAGAAUAAGGAUCGGCUAACUCCGUGCCAGCAGCCGCGGUAAUACGGAGGUUCCAAGCGUUAUCCGGAAUCAUUGGGUUUAAAGGGUCCGUAGGCGGUUUAAUAAGUCAGUGGUGAAAGCCCAUCGCUCAACGAUGGAACGGCCAUUGAUACUGUUAGACUUGAAUUACAAGGAAGUAACUAGAAUAUGUAGUGUAGCGGUGAAAUGCUUAGAUAUUACAUGGAAUACCAAUUGCGAAGGCAGGUUACUACUUGUGGAUUGACGCUGAUGGACGAAAGCGUGGGGAGCGAACAGGAUUAGAUACCCGUGUAGUCC
This 445-nucleotide ribosomal RNA is filed under the name uncultured bacterium. Its description in RNAcentral is "partial 16S ribosomal RNA". It matches the Rfam family "Bacterial small subunit ribosomal RNA", at positions 354 to 796 of the family's 1533-position model. The record is from RNAcentral.